RNAcentral lists this ribosomal RNA (464 nucleotides) under uncultured bacterium. Its description in RNAcentral is "partial 16S ribosomal RNA". It matches the Rfam family "Bacterial small subunit ribosomal RNA", at positions 28 to 507 of the family's 1533-position model. The record is from RNAcentral.
GACGAACGCUGGCGGCGUGCCUAACACAUGCAAGUCGAGCGAAUGAAGUUCCUUCGGGAAUGGAUUUAGCGGCGGACGGGUGAGUAACACGUGGGCAACCUGCCUCAUAGAGGGGAAUAGCCUUCCGAAAGGGAGAUUAAUACCGCAUAAGAUUGUAGUAUCGCAUGAUACAGCAAUUAAAGGAGCAAUCCGCUAUGAGAUGGGCCCGCGGCGCAUUAGCUAGUUGGUGAGGUAACGGCUCACCAAGGCGACGAUGCGUAGCCGACCUGAGAGGGUGAUCGGCCACGUUGGGACUGAGACACGGCCCAGACUCCUACGGGAGGCAGCAGUGGGGAAUAUUGCACAAUGGGGGAAACCCUGAUGCAGCAACGCCGCGUGAGUGAUGACGGCCUUCGGGUUGUAAAGCUCUGUCUUCAGGGACGAUAAUGACGGUACCUGAGGAGGAAGCCACGGCUAACUACGUG